ACAAUCAACUCUAUUUUACAAAAUACAAAAAAAAUACAAACAUUAUAAUUGAUUUAUACAAUUGGAAUCAAUAAACAAAAAAUCCAAAAAAAAAUACAAAAUUGGAGUCGAUCAACCUUAAUCGACUUUCAGAGCAUAGUCGAUUAGCUUAAUCGACUAUUGAGUAUGUACAUAGUCGAUUAAACUUUCAGUCUGUGCGAAUUUCUCUACACCACCAGCCCAGGCAAAAACCACCAAAACAAAACCACACAUCAAAAAAUUUGCAGCGAAAUUAUAUUAAAAAUCUAUAAUCUGCCCUCCGUUGGCCAAUAAUCAUUGCCUGAAAAUUUCGAAUCAAACCCAAAUUAUUUGUACCAUCACCACACCAUAUCAACUCCUCUAAAACACUAUACUCCACCCUUGCAUCAACGCGUUGUACCUUACCCUCCCUAAAUUGUACAUUGCACUCAUACCUGGGUAUUAUUCUUCACUCCCCAUAAAUAUUCACGAUCUUUUGUCUUUUCCAAUUUUCAUUUGUAGCAAACAACUUCUGCAAAAAAAUUGAUGAAACAACCAGCCCCAAGGAGCGGCUACUCCGCCUCAGGCGGCGGCAUAUCCCGUAAUCCGCCGUACCACCAUCUCCAGAUCUCCUCCAGCAACAGAGCAUGAAGGCCGACAAGGAUUAUCACAGAAUAUCCACCUAAGCCUUGUAUUAAGAGUAUUAUGAAGGCCGACGAGGAAGUGCGCAUCAUAUCGGUGGAGACGGCGGGGCAGCGGAGUGGAGAGAAUAUGGUGAGAUUUGGAUGGAGGAAAAUAAAUGACGAGCGAAAGGGUAGGUUAGGAAUUAUUAAAGAUUCAUUUUGCUAGAAAUAUACCAAGGGGGUUUUCUCUAAUUACUUUUAGGAGAAGGUGUUUUCUUAACUACAUUUCCUAGAUGAGGGGGUUAUUGCUAAUUAUAUAUAUAUAUAUGAAAAGGAAGCG
This 960-nucleotide long non-coding RNA is filed under the name Erythranthe guttata (spotted monkey flower). Its description in RNAcentral is "long non-coding RNA (EGUT_LNC001676)". The record is from RNAcentral. Lineage: Eukaryota; Viridiplantae; Streptophyta; Magnoliopsida; Lamiales; Phrymaceae.